RNAcentral lists this transfer RNA (82 nucleotides) under Bifidobacterium pseudolongum subsp. globosum. RNAcentral's name for it is "tRNA-Tyr". It matches the Rfam family "tRNA". Rfam says of the family: Transfer RNA (tRNA) molecules are approximately 80 nucleotides in length. Their secondary structure includes four short double-helical elements and three loops (D, anti-codon, and T loops). Further hydrogen bonds mediate the characteristic L-shaped molecular structure. tRNAs have two regions of fundamental functional importance: the anti-codon, which is responsible for specific mRNA codon recognition, and the 3' end, to which the tRNAs corresponding amino acid is attached (by aminoacyl-tRNA synthetases). tRNAs cope with the degeneracy of the genetic code in two manners: having more than one tRNA (with a specific anti-codon) for a particular amino acid; and 'wobble' base-pairing, i.e. permitting non-standard base-pairing at the 3rd anti-codon position. RNAcentral also lists the same sequence under 1 other name. Lineage: Bacteria; Bacillati; Actinomycetota; Actinomycetes; Bifidobacteriales; Bifidobacteriaceae. The record is from RNAcentral.
GGUGGAUUGCCGCAGCAGCCGACCGGACCCGACUGUAAAUCGGGUGCAUCACGCCGCGCAGGUGCAAAUCCUGCAUCCACCA